This is a small nucleolar RNA of Meriones unguiculatus (Mongolian gerbil), 141 nucleotides long. RefSeq annotates it as small nucleolar RNA SNORA48. The transcript has a single exon. The record is from RefSeq and is a predicted model, not a curated record. Lineage: Eukaryota; Metazoa; Chordata; Mammalia; Rodentia; Muridae.
UCUCUCUGGCAAUGAGCAAAGAGACAUCUUUGGUGAUGGUGUUCUUUUAUCAGUCAGGGGCAGAGCUGAUGGCACUCCUUUCUUCAUCCUAGCUUGAUUUCUGGCUUGGUGGCCACAGCUGUUUUAUUUCCCAAGACACAA